Molecule: long non-coding RNA, 526 nt
Organism: Neofelis nebulosa (Clouded leopard)
Lineage: Eukaryota; Metazoa; Chordata; Mammalia; Carnivora; Felidae
Exons: 2
Source: RefSeq, a predicted model, not a curated record
GGCCGCAAAUCCUCACUGCCCAUCGUGCAGACAGGAGGAGCCUGCCCGCCGGGUCCUGGAACAUCCCUGGAAACGGGGGCGCAGCCUGGUGCCUGCACUCGGGGCGCGGGGCAGGACCCGGCCUAUGGAUCGCGGACCUUCCUCUGCCGGUAGUAACCACAGGCGCCUGCUUGGAAACCCCGCGUGAGAACUUGCUUCCGGCUGAUUCCUGGGAGCGCACGGCCGUCUCGGGGCAUCUGGGGCAGAAGGGCACCCUGGAAACGACACGGCCCGGGCCUUUCCGUCCUGCAGGAAGCGAGCUGCUUCUGAACACUCAGAGCCGUGUGUCACACACACGUGUGCUGCCCCUUUGUGGGAUGGGGAUGGGACACAAGACAGUAGACUGCAGUUUACUGACCGGGGCAUUCGAGGCUUCAAAACGGUUUCGUGUUCCCCAAGUCACUCCCGAGGCUGUUUUCCACAUCAGGGCCCGUCUGGCCUGUGGUCCAGUGACAGUCAAGGGCGGACAAAUAAAUCCUCCCCUGAC